ACUUCAGCACCAUUUGGAGAUGCUUAAGAGUUCCUGUAGAGCUGCCUAGGCAGAGCAGGGUCCAAGGGUGUGAAAAAUAAUUGUCUGAGGAAUAGAGACCUCUCUACCAAAGAGGACCCAUGGGACUCCAGCUGGGAAUACCUGGUGACAGUUCUUCAUCACAGCCCUGAUUUCAUGUCCCCCACAGCCAGGCCCAAAGGAACCCAGGCUGCUUUAGUCCUUGCUAAGAGCUCUGAGUGCAGUGGGACAGUGUUCCCUGAAAGCUGGGAAGGGGCUGAAUACAGAGGACCAACUUGCUGUUUCUUCCUGUGUUAAAAAAAGGCUCAUGAAUUAACCAAACGGAUUUAAAAAUUCCAGAAACCAUUAUGUAUUUGAUACCUGCACUGACAACAGCACAGGAGGCUGCAUUUUUCUGGAAGAGGUCUGCUCAUCCCCAUUGUUUUGCAAUAGAACAUUAUCAGCAGCCACAACAAGAGAGUUUUAGUGAAUCUGGAGACCAUGGCCAUGUUUCUUGAACCCAAGCCACUGCCUCCUGAAAGGAUGGCAAAGAAAGCCCAUGCACCUUUCUAAAUGAUGCUUUUAAAUUUUUCCCCCAUUACUAGUAUUUUUCCCCAUUACACUCUCUUACUGUAAAACAGUACAACAGCUGUAGUAGAGCAGGGAGGCAGCUUGAACUGAGAAAAUGAUUGAUAGAUUGGGAAAAUUUAGAAAUAAUACUUAUCCUUCACAUUAUCCAUUAGGUCAGAAAAAUAUCCUUAUCCCUUAACUCAGGGAAGAUCCCAGGUGCCUGAAUGAGUUACAACAGCACUGCAGAGCUGCACAGAAGUUGCUUACUUGUGCAUAUCAGCAAUGCCAGAAAAAAUCUGCUUUGAUCAGCCUCACAAGACCUUUAUGGGAAUACCUCUUUCCUCAUGAGGGUGUUCUGUGACACACAGCCUAGUUAUGCUGGCAGGAAGAUUUGAAGUCUCGAGACUGGCUGUUCUGCUCUGGCCUGCAAUUACACCGGUAGCUGAGAGGGAGAAUUUAUUAAAUUGCAACAUUCUUUUGGCUAAAACACAGUUGGACUGACUUGUUGUGCAGCUCAAGAGUGAAAAGAGAUGCUUCUAGCUUUUUAAGUUCAUCAAAAUUCACCCUAAAUGAGUUUCCCAAGGAAAAGGCUUAGGAAUUCAGCUUGACAUAUGAGACGUUUUCCAGCCAACUCUGGACUGCUAGAUCUUGGCAAGAAACUCAAACUUCAUUUCCAGGUCCAGAUAUUUGGUUCUGGAGCACGAAGAACAAAAGGCUUGUUUCUGGAUUUCUCCACUAGCAAUCAGUGAUCUGCCAAGAAAAUACAAAUGCAGCAACAACCCCCAGAUAUUUUGUCAGGAUCAGACUGAUGAACAACUGGAAUUCUCAAGUGACAGAUUCCACACCCAGUUCUCCAGAAGGGAGAUGCAUUUUUAUAGGGAGGGAUAUUAGAUAAGUGCUGUCCAGCUGGCCUGAGCCUCUCCUUGGUCCCACAAGCCCAAUGGCAGCAGGAACACCAAUAUCCCAUUAGUAUUAAUUAUGAAAAUAACAAAUUGCUUUCUAACAGCUUGAUAUACUAUUUUUCUUUCUAAUCUUUCUAAUGUAGAGUUAGAAAAGGAAUGGAUGGCAGCUGCCAGCUCCAAUACAACCUCAGGACAGGAUUUGGUGAGGUCUGUUGGCUGCUUAUACAACUGCACCAAGCAGCCAGAGCUCAGGAAGUGUAUGCACAAUGAUCUAAGGCACAGGGUGUGACUCUUGGGGCUGCCCUGUGCAGGCCAGGAGUUGGGUUUGUUGGUCUCUGUGGCCCCCUUCCAGCUCAGGGUAUUCUGUGCUUCUCUGAACUGAACAGCAGGGUUUGCCUGGGACUUGAAUGCUGUGUUACACUUUUUCAUUUCCUGCCUUCUCUGAGAUUUUAAAACUCAAAAGCUGUGCUGAACUAUUACUUAUAAUAAAAUCCAGUUCUAUUAACUGUACUGUAAGGAAAUCCAUUCAUGUUCACAGAAUAA
Haemorhous mexicanus (house finch) is the source of this 2012-nucleotide long non-coding RNA. RefSeq lists it as uncharacterized. Lineage: Eukaryota; Metazoa; Chordata; Aves; Passeriformes; Fringillidae. The transcript has 3 exons. The record is from RefSeq and is a predicted model, not a curated record.